Molecule: ribosomal RNA, 343 nt
Filed under: Allobosea sp.
Lineage: Bacteria; Pseudomonadati; Pseudomonadota; Alphaproteobacteria; Hyphomicrobiales; Alloboseaceae
Description: partial 23S ribosomal RNA
Rfam family: Bacterial large subunit ribosomal RNA
Source: RNAcentral
GUAUGGCUGUUCGCCAUUUAAAGAGGUACGUGAGCUGGGUUCAGAACGUCGCGAGACAGUUCGGUCCCUAUCUGCCGUAGGCGUCGGAGAAUUGAGAGGAGCUGCCCCUAGUACGAGAGGACCGGGGUGGACGUACCUCUGGUGGACCUGUUGUGGCGCCAGCCGCAGUGCAGGGUAGCUAUGUACGGUCGGGAUAACCGCUGAAUGCAUCUAAGCGGGAAACCCACCUCAAAACGAGAUAUCCCUUGAGAGCCGUGGAAGACGACCACGUUGAUAGGCCGGGUGUGUAAUCCCAGUAAUGGGUUCAGCUUACCGGUACUAAUUGCUCGAUCGGCUUGAUCGU